CCCCCCCCCCCCCCCCCCCCCCCCCCCCCCCCCCCCCCCCCCCCCCCCCCCCCCCCCCCCCCCCCCCCCCCCCCCCCCCCCCCCCCGGUGUGGGCGGCCGGCCCGAGGUCAUCCUGGAGGGCAGCUACGACGGGCACAGCUGGACGGUGAGUCCGGGCUGGGCACGGGUGGGCACGGCUGGGCGGUGAGUCUGGGCUGGGCACGGGUGGGCGGUGAGUCGGGGCUGGGCACUGAGGGAUGACCUCCCCCCCCCCCCCCCCCCCCCCCCCCCCCCCCCCCCCCCCCCCCCCCCCCCCCCAGCUGGACGGUGAGUCGGGGCUGGGCACAGGUGGGCAUGGCUGGACAGCGAGUCUGGGGUGGGCACAGCUGGGCGGUGAGUCCGGGCUGGGCACGGCUGGACACAGCUGGGCACAGCUGGACGGUGAGUCGGGGCUGGGCACUGAGGGAUGGGCACAGCUGGGCACAGCUGGGCUGUGAGUCUGGGCUGGGCACGGCUGGGCUGUGAGUCUGGGCUGGGCACGGCUGGGCUGUGAGUCUGGGCUGAGCACAGCUGGGCGGUGAGUCGGGGCUGGGCACUGAGGGAUGGGCACAGCUGGGCGCAGGAAUCUGGUGUCCUGCCCCAGAAUCCCGGGAUUUCGGGCGGGAACAUCCUUUUCCUGGCACUCUGAUCCCCCUGGGCAGGAGCAGGCCCAGGUGGGAUUGGGUUCUGGAGGUGUCCCUGCCCCAGAAUGCCACAGUUUUGGCUGGGAAGGGACUUCCCACCCCUGCGGUGUCACACGCAGCAUUUCCCAGGGUUCAUCCCCCCUUGCACCCCAGGGACAGCCCUGGGCUGAGCCAGGGCCCCAUUUCCCCCCCAGCCAUUCCCAGUCCCAUCCUGUACAAACACCAUGGGCUGUGCUGGGGUCCCCAUUUCCCCCCCAGCCAUUCCCAGUCCCAUCCUGUACAAACACCAUGGGCUGUGCUGGGGUCCCCAUUUCCCCCCCAGCCAUUCCCAGUCCCAUCCUGUACAAACACCAUGGGCUGUGCUGGGGUCCCCAUUUCCCCCCCAGCCAUUCCCAGUCCCAUCCUGUACAAACACCAUGGGCUGUGCUGGGGUCCCCAUUUCCCCCCCAGCCAUUCCCAGUCCCAUCCUGUACAAACACCAUGGGCUGUGCUGGGGUCCCCAUUUCCCCCCCAGCCAUUCCCAGUCCCAUCCUGUACAAACACCAUGGGCUGUGCUGGGGUCCCCAUUUCCCCCCCAGCCAUUCCCAGUCCCAUCCUGUACAAACACCAUGGGCUGUGCUGGGGUCCCCAUUUCCCCCCCAGCCAUUCCCAGUCCCAUCCUGUACAAACACCAUGGGCUGUGCUGGGGUCCCCAUUUCCCCCCCAGCCAUUCCCAGUCCCAUCCUGUACAAACACCAUGGGCUGUGCUGGGGUCCCCAUUUCCCCCCCAGCCAUUCCCAGUCCCAUCCUGUACAAACACCAUGGGCUGUGCUGGGGUCCCCAUUUCCCCCCCAGCCAUUCCCAGUCCCAUCCUGUACAAACACCAUGGGCUGUGCUGGGGUCCCCAUUUCCCCCCCAGCCAUUCCCAGUCCCAUCCUGUACAAACACCAUGGGCUGUGCUGGGGUCCCCAUUUCCCCCCCAGCCAUUCCCAGUCCCAUCCUGUACAAACACCAUGGGCUGUGCUGGGGUCCCCAUUUCCCCCCCAGCCAUUCCCAGUCCCAUCCUGUACAAACACCAUGGGCUGUGCUGGGGUCCCCAUUUCCCCCCCAGCCAUUCCCAGUCCCAUCCUGUACAAACACCAUGGGCUGUGCUGGGGUCCCCAUUUCCCCCCCAGCCAUUCCCAGUCCCAUCCUGUACAAACACCAUGGGCUGUGCUGGGGUCCCCAUUUCCCCCCCAGCCAUUCCCAGUCCCAUCCUGUACAAACACCAUGGGCUGUGCUGGGGUCCCCAUUUCCCCCCCAGCCAUUCCCAGUCCCAUCCUGUACAAACACCAUGGGCUGUGCUGGGGUCCCCAUUUCCCCCCCAGCCAUUCCCAGUCCCAUCCUGUACAAACACCAUGGGCUGUGCUGGGGUCCCCAUUUCCCCCCCAGCCAUUCCCAGUCCCAUCCUGUACAAACACCAUGGGCUGUGCUGGGGUCCCCAUUUCCCCCCCAGCCAUUCCCAGUCCCAUCCUGUACAAACACCAUGGGCUGUGCUGGGGUCCCCAUUUCCCCCCCAGCCAUUCCCAGUCCCAUCCUGUACAAACACCAUGGGCUGUGCUGGGGUCCCCAUUUCCCCCCCAGCCAUUCCCAGUCCCAUCCUGUACAAACACCAUGGGCUGUGCUGGGGUCCCCAUUUCCCCCCCAGCCAUUCCCAGUCCCAUCCUGUACAAACACCAUGGGCUGUGCUGGGGUCCCCAUUUCCCCCCCAGCCAUUCCCAGUCCCAUCCUGUACAAACACCAUGGGCUGUGCUGGGGUCCCCAUUUCCCCCCCAGCCAUUCCCAGUCCCAUCCUGUACAAACACCAUGGGCUGUGCUGGGGUCCCCAUUUCCCCCCCAGCCAUUCCCAGUCCCAUCCUGUACAAACACCAUGGGCUGUGCUGGGGUCCCCAUUUCCCCCCCAGCCAUUCCCAGUCCCAUCCUGUACAAACACCAUGGGCUGUGCUGGGGUCCCCAUUUCCCCCCCAGCCAUUCCCAGUCCCAUCCUGUACAAACACCAUGGGCUGUGCUGGGGUCCCCAUUUCCCCCCCAGCCAUUCCCAGUCCCAUCCUGUACAAACACCAUGGGCUGUGCUGGGGUCCCCAUUUCGUCCUGGUUUGGGUUUGGGGUGUCCCUGUCUGGGUUUGGGGUGUCCCUCUCUGGGUUUGGGGUGUCCCUGUCUGGGUUUGGGGUGUCCCUCUCUGGGUUUGGGUGUCCCUGUUUAGGUUUGAGGUGUCCCUGUUUGGGUUUGGAGUGUCCUGGUUUGGGUUUGAGGUGUCCUGGUUUGGGUUUGGGGUGUCCCUCUCUGGGUUUGGAGUGUCCCUCUCUGGGUUUGGGGUGUCCCUGUCUGGGUUUGGGGUGUCCCUCUCUGGGUUUGGGUGUCCCUCUCUGGGUUUGGAGUGUCCCUCUCUGGGUUUGGGUGUCCCUCUCUGGGUUUGGGGUGUCCCUCUCUGGGUUUGGGGUGUCCCUGCAGCUCUGGGGGCUGUCUCUGGGUUGAUUCGGGGUGUCCCUGUCUGUUCUGGGGUACAUUUGGGGUGUCCCCGGUGUGCUGGGGGCGCCUUUGCUGACCCCGUGUCCCGCAGUGAUCCGCCUGGUGCAGGCAGACCCCGCCCGGUACCCGUUCCAGGGCCGGCCCCCCGCCUUCCUGCGGGCCCGGCUCUACAAGUACCGAUUCACCGGCCCCGGGGAGGCCAGGUCAGCGGGGGGGGCCUGGGGGCCACGGGGAGGGCCCCCCCCCCCCCCCCCCCCCCCCCCCCCCCCCCCCCCCCCCCCCCCCCCCCCCCCCC
This 3446-nucleotide long non-coding RNA is filed under the name Ficedula albicollis (Collared flycatcher). Its description in RNAcentral is "lncRNA (ENSFALG00000026569.1)". The record is from RNAcentral. Lineage: Eukaryota; Metazoa; Chordata; Aves; Passeriformes; Muscicapidae.